AUGAAAGAAACUGACCUCACUGCUCGUUGCCGCGGUGCCGCCGCGUUCACCGCACGCACUCAUUCGGCCGUCCCGCUCGCGCACCGACACCGGGUUCCCUUGGGAACGGCGGCGACGAGGAGGUCCGGCCCUUGGCGCGACCGGCGGCCCUCCCCCACCCCCCACGCGACGGCAUCGUACGGGGAUGACUGGCAACAGGCUAAUGUCUUCUUCAGGGCAUUGGUAAUUUUUGAAUCCUUCAGGAAGUUAGACAAUUCCUUCGAAAUACAGGCUGGAAAACCUGAGCUCUGCCAAUGCAAUUUUAAUAUUCAGUUGUGCUUCUGCACUGCUGCACAUAAGCAUAUGACGCUCCUUUUCUUCUCUGUUGGGUUGAUGUGGACUGGGAAUCCAUGCAGGUUUGGAAUGUUCUGGGAGUUUUGUUCUGGUCAAUCUAAUCAAAAUAUUGCUUUCUGGGUGGAUGCUCCAAUAUAUCCAGAUUGUUGGGUCUUUGUUUGCUUCCUGGUGGAGUACCAACAUCAGUUAAUUUCCGAAUCCGACACUAAAAUUUGGGGAAUCAGUUACUCAUCCAUCAUUGGUUUGUUUCCUGCAUGA
Molecule: ribosomal RNA, 591 nt
Filed under: Triticum aestivum (bread wheat)
Lineage: Eukaryota; Viridiplantae; Streptophyta; Magnoliopsida; Poales; Poaceae
Description: partial small subunit ribosomal RNA
Source: RNAcentral